Molecule: long non-coding RNA, 5056 nt
Organism: Homo sapiens (human)
Lineage: Eukaryota; Metazoa; Chordata; Mammalia; Primates; Hominidae
Exons: 2
Source: RefSeq, a predicted model, not a curated record
UGGAAUGGAAUGGAAUGGAAUGGACUCGAAUGGAAUGGAAAGGAAUGGACUCAAAUGGAAUAGAAUUUAAUGGAAUUACAAACCACAGUGAUAUAACACACAUGCAUGAAGAUUUCUAACAUGCCAUCCUAAAUUAAGUCACUGUAUCAGUCAGAGUCCAAGUAUAGGAAACAGUCACUACCCAUGCAAACCUGAAGAGACCUUCAUACAAGGGAGCUGAGGCAGCCGCAGCCUGCAGCUCUGUCUUCUAGUCUUGCAGGCAUUCAUUUAGUUAGUGGAAGCAUAUCUCCUCCCAGAGCCCAGGCUGCAAGAGUCUGAAAUGGAGCUUUUAGCUUUCCAGCCUCUGUAUCAAAAGGGCACACCAGAAAGAGGCUAGAAUGAAUGGUUGGGCACUAACAAAUAUUUUCACAACCUAAGCCCAUACUCGCAGUUGUUUGCUGAACAGACAAUCAAUAAAUCAAACAGCCCUUCCAUGUAGAAAUUAAGAAGGAAACACAACACCAAAACUCAUUAUUAAAUAGCAUUUUGUAUUUGAAAACUCAUUAUUAAAUAGCAAAUAAAUUGCACUAAAAUACAAAAUUGUAGAAUUUGUAUUCUGGGAAGCCACAGUAACAAAUCCCUGUGACAGAACCCACGAAGUAGAGGUCUCCUGUGGGAAUGAUGACCGAGGCCCUCGCCGCUGCUCCACCUGCCCCUCCAGGGAUGCCCUGCUUUUCCAGUUGCCCCUACUCUGAUGUGCAUCAUGGCAGGAAAAAGUGGGCUGCUGCUUUCCUUUAAUGCUUUUUGUCCCACUUUAUUUUUUACUUUUGCCUAGUAUAUCUUUUCAUUCUUUUAUUUUCAACUUUUGUAAAUCUCUGUUUUAGGUGGGCUUCUUACGUACAACUUGGAGUUGGGUUUCACUUUUUGAUUCAAUCUGAAAUCUUUUACUUUUACCAACCUUCAGGUUAUGUGUAUAAAGUUAUGUGUUUACAUGUAUAGAUACAAUGUUUGGUCUUACUUUUAUGACAUGUUUUUGUAGCUUUUUGAAAAAGUUUGUGUUCUCUCUGUAGUUCUUCUGAAAUUUAGAAAUGUUUGCACUAUUUUGUACUAGGGGUUACUUUUGGAAUUUUAACUCUAUGUAAUUCCCUCUCCUUCGGAAUCCUCAUACAACACAUCUUAGCCUGUUAGUUUCCUGUUCCACACUGUGAUAAAACUGUCAUUCAUCUUGCUCCUUCUUCCUUCCAUCCCUCUCCUCUACAACUUGAUUUUAGUGAAUAACAUCUUACUGCCUCCCUGUGAUUAUAGGUGAGACAGUCAACAAACCUCUAACCACCGACCUUUUCUCCUCUGCCCUCCACUCACACUCUGCUCCAUCACCCUCAGCCACACAGCUGACGCUGUAGAGAUUCACUGACAUCCAGUCUGAUGGACACUGUUUCUCCAGCCGAAACUGCUCAUGAGAACAUGUGCAGUGAAGUGCUCCAGAGGCCCCAGCAUGCUACAUUACAGAAGACUGAACUCAGGAGAGAUGAGGAAUAAUCCCCUCCAUCACACCAGACACCAGGAGGGUGUGCCAAGGUGUGAGACAUACAGUCCUUACUCUUUUUUUGUUUUGUUUUGUUUUGUGAGACGGAGUUUCACUUUUGUCCCCCAGGCUGGAGUGCAAUGGCCCGAUCUCGGCUCACUGCAACCUCUGCUUCCUGGGUUCAAGCGAUUCUCCAGCCUCAGCUUCCCGAGCAGCUGGCAUUACAGGUGCAUGCCACCAUGCCCGGCUAAUUUUCUGUAUGCCUGGCUAAGUUCUGUAUUUUUAGUAGAGACAGGUUUCACCAUGUUGGCCGGGCUGGUCUCAAACUCCUGAUCUCAGGUGAUCCACCCACCUCGGCCUCCCAAAGUGCUGGGAUUAUAGGCGUGAGCCACUGCACCCAGCCCAGUCCUUACUUUUAAAUAAAUGGAGAAAUAUUUUAAAAAUUGUUUUAAUUUCUAAUGUGGCAAACAUUAAUAGAUAUAACUCACAUGACCAAAAUCUCUUUGGGGUCCUCAGUAAUUUUAAAAAGUGAAAAGGACCCCUGAGACAACAUUUGGGUUUGGAACUGCUGCUCCACUAGGGGAAGAGAUACCAGAACAGAGAAUAUGUGUUCCCUGGGAGAUAAGGCCUUCCCGACUACCUCCCCUCCUAUCAUCGAAAUAAGUUUUCUACAUUUCUUUAAUAUCAUGUUUUAAAAUUCCUUUUAAAAGACUGAAAUCAUCAGCAGAAGGCACGGGAUUAGCUUAGCACAGUCAGUUUAGACUAGUUACCCACAGGGGACUACAGAAUGGACAUCACGAGGCAUACAUAAGCAUAGAGGUGAGAAGGGCCGUGUUCACAGUUGACAAGAUUACAUUUCAGGUUAAACUGGUAACUAAGAUAACAGGGAAAAAGACAAUUAACAAAGAAACUGUAAUCGUCCAUAAGCCUAAUUAGCCAUAAAGCAAAGUCUGUUGGGAAUUUAAUGAACAUUUGUUAAAAACACAAAUAUUAUAGGAAGUUUUUUAUACAGUCAUGGGUCGCUUAACAAGGGGGAUACAAUCUGAUCCGAGAAAUGCAUUGCUAGGUAAUUUCCUCAUUGUGUGAACAUCACAGAGUGUAUUACACAACACCUACACAGCUAGGCUACAGACCUAUACAACAUAUUAAUGCACUGAACAGCAACUGUAACAUAAUGGCAACUAUCUGUGUAUCUAAAUAUAUCUAAACAUAGGAAACGUACAGUAAAAAAAGGAAACAAUCUUAUGUGGCCACUACACUACACGCGGUCGGUCAUUGACCAAAACAUCGUUAUGUAGUGCAUGACUGCAUAUCUCCUCAAAUCUGACAAUUCUAAACAAGUAAAGAUGUGGAAGAAUUAGAUAAACAGAAAGAAAGUACAUCCUUCAAAUAGAGAAUCUGUAUUUUUUUCACACAUCAAUAGAAUAUUUACAAAAAUCAAUUAUAAAGAAGGCCACAAAGGAAAACUUAAUCAUUUCAAAGAAUUAGAGAUCUUAAAGGCCAAACUCUCUGGUGGUAAUAUAAUAAAACUAGAAUUCAAUAAAGUUAAAUAAAAUCACAGCUAUUUGAAAUUCGAAGUCCACUUCUGAACACCCUUGGAUCUGGGAGCAAAUUGGCACUGCAUGUGUGCCUGGGCUCCUGAAGGGCCUCACAUACAUGGGGAAGGGCAGAGAAAGAGAAACAACAACAUCCACUACCUCUAUUUUUAAAGUCAGCCUUACUACAAAAUACAGAAAGUAUUCUUCACUGGGCAGACCAAAUCAACUUUGCUCAAUCUUCGCCUUUGGGUUCCUUUAGGUUUAUAAUGAACUGUAAGCAUUUACUGAGUGAUUAUUAUAAAGGCACCAUUUGAAGUACCUGAUGCCCUUUUAAUGCUGUAAUGCCCCUGUGAAGUAGGUCUUACUAUUAUCCCUGCUCUAGAGAUGAGAAAACUGAGGCAGGGAGAGAUGAAGAAGCUGGCCCCAAGGCCACACCACUGAGGAGGGAGGGGCCAGACCUGGAGAGCAGGGGGAUCCCACAAUCUGUGCUUGUGCCUUCCUGCUCUGCUGCUUCCCAGCUAGCGUGUGUGCUGGACACAGCCCUCAGUGAUCUCAACUUUGAUUAUCUAAUUUUAAAAAGACUUCUCAAGUUUAUUGUCUUUUACAAAAAAGGGAUGUAAUCUAGCAAGCCAAAGCAGAACCAAGCAGACUUUGUAGUUUUCAUCAAUUUUCUGGACGCUCCAGCCACUUUCCUCAGGUCCUUUAGCAAUGUGUGGACUGCCCGCCCACCGCUGCCCCGAGGUAGGGAAGCACCACACUACAACCUCAUGCAGGCUGGAUUAAAACAUGCCCUCCACUUCAGGCUUAGGAACCAGCGCCCCUCCUACAGCUCACAAGUUGCUCAAGCAGUGGUCUGUGAGAAGUGAUUCUAUUUUUGGGGUUGUCCCUUUUCUCUGCUUUUCUUGGGAACCAUUUUGACUCUGUCAAAUGUUCACUGACUUCUAGCACUGGCAGAAAGAACGUCUGCUUUUUUAUCUGAAACUGAACUGUUACACAACUUAUAAUUUUAUUUUGGUAAAAGCAUUCUUAGUUGCUGUGUUUAGUCAUACUCUACAAAUUAUCUUGUUGGUAGGAUAAAUAUGGUGAGAAUUAAAGAAAAAUGAAGAUGGUAGUGGACAUUUGCAGACUAUUAUCAAUACCGGCAUUUCAAACUUCCAAUAUAAUUCGGAUACUUGCCUGGAGGACAAACUUUUUUUGGCAUGCCGUAUAAUGAGGAGCCUUAUAUUCCCAGUGUGCUCAAACUGCCCUGACACCACCUAUCCACCGUCGUCAGCAAUCUAUGUUCAAUGUUUCUUAAAAACAUCAGUUACAAGGUCAAAUUUAAUUCAACUGAGGUCAGACUCUCAGGGGAGCUGAGGAGCACUUCCUUCAAUGGAAAUGGCCAUUUCUGAGUGGUGACAACACUGUCAUUUCUUGGACCUUCUUUAACAAAUCUGUUCUCAGGAGCAUUAACAUACUUUGCUAAUACAUUUUAAUCUGGCAUUUUUAUGGGGGUAAUUAUAGGAAAUGCCUGGAAUUAAAUAGCCUACAACCAAUUCUUGGAUCAACAACUAGGAAAACUGAAAAAUAUAUAUGUAAAUAUAUCUUUUUCUGUGUAAGAAAAGUCCUGCUAACUUAGGAAAUUAGAGGAUAUCUUUGUGUAGAAUCUUUUUAUAAAGUGGAAAUAGGCCAGGCAUGGUGGCUAACGCCUGCAAUCCCAGCACUUUGGGAGGCCGAGGCAGCCAGAUCACCUGAGGUCAGGAGUUCAAGACCAGCCUGACCCAUAUGGCAAAACCCCCUCUCUACUAAAAAUACAAAAAUUAGCCAGGUGUGGUGGCAGGUGCCUGAAAUCCCAGCUACUCGGGAAGCUGAGGCAGGAGAAUCACUUGAACCCGGGGGGCGGAGAUUGCAGUGGGCCAAGAUUACACCACUGCACUCCAGCCUGGGCGACAAAGCGACUCUGUCUCAGAAAAAUACAAAAUAAAAAAAUAAAGUGGAAAUAACUUCCUCUGCUUCUAACUAUGCAGUUUGCUUG